GACGGAGGAUGCAAGCGUUAUCCGGAAUCAUUGGGCGUAAAGCGUACGUAGGCGGCUUAUCAAGUCUGGGGUCAAAGACCACAGCUUAACUGUGGAAAGGCCUUGGAAACUAGUGAGCUGGAGUGAGGUAGGGGUUGCGGGAAUUCCCGGUGUAGCGGUGAAAUGCGUAGAUAUCGGGAAGAACACCUGAGGCGAAAGCGCGCGACUGGGCCUUAACUGACGCUGAGGUGCGAAAGCGUGGGGAGCAAACAGG
Molecule: ribosomal RNA, 253 nt
Filed under: uncultured bacterium
Lineage: Bacteria
Description: partial 16S ribosomal RNA
Rfam family: Bacterial small subunit ribosomal RNA
Source: RNAcentral